GUACACUCCUACGGGAGGCAGCAGUGGGGAAUUUUGGACAAUGGGCGAAAGCCUGAUCCAGCAAUGCCGCGUGCAGGAUGAAGGCCUUCGGGUUGUAAACUGCUUUUGUACGGAACGCAAAAGCUCCUUCUAAUACAGGGGGCCCAUGACGGUACCGUAAGAAUAAGCAACGGCUAACUACGUGCCAGCAGCCGCGGUAAUACGUAGGGUGCGAGCGUUAAUCGGAAUUACUGGGCGUAAAGCGUGCGCAGGCGGUUAUGUAAGACAGAUGUGAAAUCCCCGGGCUCAACCUGGGAACUGCAUUUGUGACUGCAUGGCUAGAGUACGGUAGAGGGGGAUGGAAUUCCGCGUGUAGCAGUGAAAUGCGUAGAUAUGCGGAGGAACACCGAUGGCGAAGGCAAUCCCCUGGACCUGUACUGACGCUCAUGCACGAAAGCGUGGGGAGCAAACAGGAUUAGAAACCCGAGUAGUCCCA
RNAcentral lists this ribosomal RNA (475 nucleotides) under uncultured organism. RNAcentral describes it as "partial 16S ribosomal RNA". It matches the Rfam family "Bacterial small subunit ribosomal RNA", at positions 331 to 797 of the family's 1533-position model. The record is from RNAcentral.